RNAcentral lists this transfer RNA (74 nucleotides) under Treponema sp. RNAcentral describes it as "tRNA-Arg". It matches the Rfam family "tRNA". Rfam says of the family: Transfer RNA (tRNA) molecules are approximately 80 nucleotides in length. Their secondary structure includes four short double-helical elements and three loops (D, anti-codon, and T loops). Further hydrogen bonds mediate the characteristic L-shaped molecular structure. tRNAs have two regions of fundamental functional importance: the anti-codon, which is responsible for specific mRNA codon recognition, and the 3' end, to which the tRNAs corresponding amino acid is attached (by aminoacyl-tRNA synthetases). tRNAs cope with the degeneracy of the genetic code in two manners: having more than one tRNA (with a specific anti-codon) for a particular amino acid; and 'wobble' base-pairing, i.e. permitting non-standard base-pairing at the 3rd anti-codon position. The record is from RNAcentral. Lineage: Bacteria; Pseudomonadati; Spirochaetota; Spirochaetia; Treponematales; Treponemataceae.
GAUGCUGUAGCUCAGCUGGAUAGAGUACAAGAUUGCGGAUCUUGUGGUCGGACGUUCGAAUCGUCUCAGCAUCA